UACGGAGGGGGCUAGCGUUGUUCGGAAUUACUGGGCGUAAAGCGCACGUAGGCGGCUUUGUAAGUUAGAGGUGAAAGCCUGGGGCUCAACUCCAGAACUGCCUUUAAGACUGCAUCGCUUGAAUCAUGGAGAGGCGGGUUGGAAUUCCGAGUGUAGAGGUGAAAUUCGUAGAUAUUCGCAAGAACACCAGUGGCGAAGGCGGCUGACUGGUCCGGUUCUGACGCUGAGGCGCGAAAGCGUGGGGAGCAAACAGG
Molecule: ribosomal RNA, 254 nt
Filed under: uncultured bacterium
Lineage: Bacteria
Description: partial 16S ribosomal RNA
Rfam family: Bacterial small subunit ribosomal RNA
Source: RNAcentral